AAAAUUUCCUAUAAAGACCCCCCUCCAUACCACCUUCGGAUCCCUUCCCACACACCCCAAAAAUUUCAGCAAAUUUAAAGAGAGUUAGAGAGCUUGGUGUUCUAGGAGCAUAUUUCAAGGCAGUAACUACUUCAACAGGGGCAUCUUCGCACGUCGUUUAAGGCCAAAUCAAGGAACUUUUCAACUAAGGAAAUAGCUUUUGAGGUUGAACGUGAACGAGGAGGCGAAGGUGUUGAGAAAUGAUAUUAAUAAGUAGCAAUAGGUAGCCCAAAGAAGUGUCUUCACACAUACUUCUUUGUCUUGGUCUCUUCCGCUGCAUUAGGGAUUUUGUACCAGGAGCUUAUAAACCUAGAUAACUUACUCUGAUUUUUGUUUUGCCAUGUAUCACUUUCGCUUUCUGAAACAAAUGUUUGAACUUGAUUUUCAUCUAUGCUUAUCUCUUUGA
Salvia splendens (bonfire salvia) is the source of this 445-nucleotide long non-coding RNA. RefSeq lists it as uncharacterized. The record is from RefSeq and is a predicted model, not a curated record. NCBI's taxonomy places the organism in Eukaryota, Viridiplantae, Streptophyta, Magnoliopsida, Lamiales, Lamiaceae. The transcript is spliced from 3 exons.